This 231-nucleotide ribosomal RNA is filed under the name uncultured bacterium. Its description in RNAcentral is "partial 16S ribosomal RNA". It matches the Rfam family "Bacterial small subunit ribosomal RNA", at positions 15 to 237 of the family's 1533-position model. The record is from RNAcentral.
GAUCCUGGCCCAGGAUGAACGCUAGCUACAGGCUUAACACAUGCAAGUCGAGGGGCAGCAUGGUCUUAGCUUGCUAAGGCCGAUGGCGACCGGCGCACGGGUGAGUAACACGUAUCCAACCUGCCGUCUACUCUUGGACAGCCUUCUGAAAGGAAGAUUAAUACAAGAUGGCAUCAUGAGUUCACAUGUUCACAUGAUUAAAGGUAUUCCGGUAGACGGUGGGGAUGCGUU